Molecule: ribosomal RNA, 253 nt
Filed under: uncultured bacterium
Lineage: Bacteria
Description: partial 16S ribosomal RNA
Rfam family: Bacterial small subunit ribosomal RNA
Source: RNAcentral
UACGGAGGAUCCAAGCGUUGUCCGGAUUUACUGGGUUUAAAGGGUGCGUAGGUGGACCUUUAAGUCAGUGGUGAAAGCCUGCAGCUUAACUGUAGAAUUGCCAUUGAAACUGAAGGUCUUGAGUGUAGUUGAGGUAGGCGGAAUGUAUCAUGUAGCGGUGAAAUGCUUAGAUAUGAUACAGAACACCGAUUGCGAAGGCAGCUUACUAAACUAUAACUGACACUGAGGCACGAAAGCGUGGGGAUCAAACAGG